UUGGGACAGCCGUCGGAUUUGGCAGAGAUGGCAGGGAAAGUGGCGGUGCUGUUUGUUCCUUUGCAUUUCAGCUUUGCGAUUCAGUUUCCUAUACAGAGAUUCCUGCAGAGCCAGUUGAAGACGGCAGUGAUUGCUUAUGUUUCGUUAGUGGCGUUGGUGGUUCAUAUUUUGGUGAGCUGGUUGUUUGUUUAUGGGCUUAAGCUUG
This 205-nucleotide unclassified non-coding RNA is filed under the name Hevea brasiliensis (rubber tree). The record is from RNAcentral. Lineage: Eukaryota; Viridiplantae; Streptophyta; Magnoliopsida; Malpighiales; Euphorbiaceae.